This is a long non-coding RNA of Sebastes umbrosus (honeycomb rockfish), 2245 nucleotides long. RefSeq lists it as uncharacterized. The record is from RefSeq and is a predicted model, not a curated record. NCBI's taxonomy places the organism in Eukaryota, Metazoa, Chordata, Actinopteri, Perciformes, Sebastidae. The transcript has 3 exons.
CAGGCUGCAGGCAGGCUGUCUUUGGUUUUAGUGCACUUAACGUGUUAAAUUCAAUGCAAGCUUUGUUUGACGUGCAUAUCAGGCUGAAUUUGAACUGGUACAUGUGUGUGUGAAUAUAUCCUGAGGCACGCUCAAGGGUUAGUAAACAUCCUCAGUGCUCUGAAAGAAGGGAUGACUAACCUGCUCUCCAGCUGACUUGGACUGAGAUCAAAGUGGGAAGUCAAACGACGCUCGAGGAGUUCAGAUGUCGGUGGUUUCUUAAAGAGGAAGCGGUGGCUUCACAAGGACGACGCUGCAAUUCCAGCGUCUGGAGCCUGCGCACAGACAUGUGAGGACAGAGAGACACUACAUCACUGUGAUGCCUGCUCUAAAAGAGCAACCACUGUGGACAACCUAUAGCCACCCACCCAUACAGAUCAUGCAGAGAAAGUGCAACUACCAAAACCAUUGACUGUUCUUCAUCCAUCCAUCCAUCCAUCCAUUAUCCGUAACUGAUAAUCCCAUUUGGGGUCGCGGGGGUGCUGGUGCCGAUCCCAGUUGACAUUGGGCGAAAGGCGGGGUACACCCUGGACAGGUCGCCAGACUAUCACAGGGCUGACACAUAGAGACAGACAACCAUUCACGUUCACAAUCACACCUACAGGCAAUUUAGAGUCAACAACUAACCUAACCUGGAUGUCUUUGGGGUGUGAGCGGAAACCAGAGAACCCGGGGAAAACCCACGCUAACACGGGGAGAACAUGCAAACUCCACACAGAAGGGCCCCAAGCUGGAUUCGAACCCUGCGACCCUCUAGCUGUGAGACUGUUCUUCAGCUAGGCCUAAUGUUAUCAGGGUAAUUGCAAGUUUCAUCAGCUUGGAUUUCAGAUUUUUUAGCUCUUUAAAACACUACUUAGAGUCAAUUAGAAUAAAUAAAAUAUGACCAAUUCCAUCACUGACAUAACAGAAAAUUUAGGCAAAAUCUAAGGUAAGUCAACAGUGGGUUUCUCACCAAUACAACACUGCAAUAUCUUUAAGAAAUGAAAUAAUUAAACUGUAUUCAUAAGCAUUCAGCGCCUUGAAAUUAGAAGUCAUAAUUUCACACAUUUUAAGAAUUUUUCAGCUUUUGCAAACAUCCCGUUUAAAGUAAACUUACAUGUAUAAAUUGUAUAAAUUGCAAUGCAGUGGUGGAGGAACAAAUAAGAUGCUGUAAAAGUAACAAUACAAUAGUGUAAAAAUACUGAGAAGUAACAAUUUAAAGCAUUUAAAAUGUUAUAUAUUCAAGUAUUAAACUUAAAAGUACUUAUUAUACUGAAUAGCUCUGGUUAUAUUACUAGAUGAUUAUGUAAGCAGCAUUUUACAGCUGUAGCAGGAUGAGGUUGGACAAAUGUUAGCAAUAUUAAAUGUAGAAGAGUAGAAAUUGCAAUAAUACCCCUUUGAAAUGUAGUAGUUACAAUUUAAAGAUGCAUAAAUUGGAAAGACUCAAGCAAAAUACAAAUACCUCAAAACACAGUAUUUGAGUAAAUGUACUUUUGCCAUAUACAGUAUGUAGUCAAUUGUGGUGUUUUCUUAAGGGCAUUUAGAGUUUGCCAUUAUUACCAGACAGCUUCAAUCCCAAUAGGCAUGGUAUAUGAUAUGUUUACAGGCACUCCCCAGAUGUAUCUGUAUACAGUUCACUUGUAAUCCUCAAAUAGUCAGAAAAAUAUCAUGCUAACAUUUUGCAGAACUCCUUUACAGUGCUAUAGAUUUUUCAAACUUCUUAUGUGCAUCUUAUGCACUAACCUGCUUGCAGCAGUAGAGGGAGCCCCUUUGACAGCCUGGUGGGACCCGCUUCCGCAUUGAAAACGUGGUUGUGCAAUGCCUUUGCAAUGCUGUCCAUUCUCAAUAUGAGCCAGAGGAGGGAGCCAGCUGGUCAAUAAUGAAUCCUUUGUAUAGUCAUGGUAUUGCAUGGCACAUGGUGAACAAAGUGAUUCACUGUCACAUUCUUCUACGCAUGUCAAACCUGGCAAUGCAUUUAAGAUUAUUAACAUUAUUCCAAACAGAAACAUGGUUUGACUCCCAUAAGGAUACUGCAGAUGAGGCAUCUAUAUCCUUGCUUCUGGGCUUGAAUGAUGCCUUUCACUGCUGUCUGUACCUGCCAAAAAAAAGAUGAUUGCAAAGAUGCUGGUGGCAGCACAUUAAACUAUUAACAUGAAUGCAAUAUUUGGACAUGACAUUUAUGAAGAUUUAUUUAACUGCUCAAUAAUAAAAACAAUACCACAGAUCA